UUGGUGGGGUAAGGGCCUACCAAGGCUACGAUCCAUAGCUGAUUUGAGAGGAUGAUCAGCCACAUUGGGACUGAGACACGGCCCAAACUCCUACGGGAGGCAGCAGUGAGGAAUAUUGGACAAUGGGGGCAACCCUGAUCCAGCAAUGCCAUGUGUGUGAAGAAGGCCUUAGGGUUGUAAAGCACUUUAGUUGGGGAAGAAAGCUUUGAGGUUAAUAGCCUUGAGGAAGGACGUUACCCAAAGAAUAAGCACCGGCUAACUCCGUGCCAGCAGCCGCGGUAAUACGGGGGGUGCAAGCGUUAAUCGGAAUUACUGGGCGUAAAGAGUCUGUAGGUGGUUUGUUAAGUCAGAUGUGAAAGCCCAGGGCUCAACCUUGGAACUGCAUUUGAUACUGGCAAACUAGAGUACGGUAGAGGAAUGGGGAAUUUCUGGUGUAGCGGUGAAAUGCGUAGAGAUCAGAAGGAACACCAAUGGCGAAGGCAACAUUCUGGACCGAUACUGACACUGAGGGACGAAAGCGUGGGGAUCAAACAGGAUUAGAUACCCUGGUAGUCCACGCUGUAAACGAUGAGUACUAGCUGUUGGAGUCGGUGUAAAGGCUCUAGUGGCGCAGCUAACGCGAUAAGUACUCCGCCUGGGGACUACGGCCGCAAGGCUAAAACUCAAAGGAAUUGACGGGGACCCGCACAAGCGGUGGAGCAUGUGGUUUAAUUCGAUGCAACGCGAAGAACCUUACCUGGUCUUGA
Molecule: ribosomal RNA, 746 nt
Filed under: Francisella-like endosymbiont
Lineage: Bacteria; Pseudomonadati; Pseudomonadota; Gammaproteobacteria; Thiotrichales; Francisellaceae
Description: bacterial SSU rRNA
Rfam family: Bacterial small subunit ribosomal RNA
Source: RNAcentral